Pseudoliparis swirei is the source of this 1814-nucleotide long non-coding RNA. RefSeq lists it as uncharacterized. Lineage: Eukaryota; Metazoa; Chordata; Actinopteri; Perciformes; Liparidae. The transcript has 6 exons. The record is from RefSeq and is a predicted model, not a curated record.
AAAAACACGACGUACAUGACGUUUGGAGAUUGAACUUUUCUAGUCAUUUUAGCGCCAUUUCUACGCGCUCUGCAUAGCUGGAACAACGGCCUGACUCCAAGCUACAUUUCUUCUUGAAGCUGUCACAAAGCUGAAAAUUCUUAGGACAGUUGGAGGGCUGCUCAGAAGACGUGAAAAACAUGGUGCACCUUCUUCUCUCCUAUUUUGAUGAAAAGGAGGAGAACCUCUUCCACUAUGUCGAAGAAUCAUGUCUGGCAGACGAAGUAGUAGUGGAAAGCUUGCCUGUCACACCAUGCAUCAUUGUAUGUGGAACCUCCUGCUAUGCCUCAAGGCAGUUCAUGCUAAGUGUAGAUGGCAAGGUUGUGAAUGACCAAAUCCCAAACUUUGUUUCUGCCAUCUGUUUGAUGUUUGGAAGCUAUUACUGCCUCAAUAUCCACUAUCCUGUGGUUCUGGGCUCCACACUUGAGUUCCUUCAAAGGUGUUUCUUCCUGAUCAAUCCAGAGAAGGGUACAAAAGUUGAAACCAAGAAAAACAAGAAGCAACUUUCAGUGAACCCAAGAGUCUUUCACCCUCAUUGCAGAUGUCUCUGAUCACGAGUGGAGAGAGACAUGUUCGGGAUUGAUUUAUCCAACUGAACUGUCAAAGGACCUGUGUGUAGAAUCGAGGGGGAUUUAUUGGCAGAAAUGGAACAUUCAAAACAAGAUUUUCAUUUGUGUUUAGCUGUUUACCAUUAACAUGUUAUGUUUUCAGUUAGCUUUUGGGUAUUAUAAGCAUUUUCUGGUAGUUUCAUUGUUUUGAUAAGCAGUUGUUCGGGUUCUGUUCAAUUCAUGUCAACUGGCUUAUUGUACAUUUAAAAGCGGGGAGUUUUUCAAUUUUGUCUUGUUAUAUCUUGCCAGAACAAACUUUUCAGAUAAGCAAGGUAGGUAAGCUACUAGGAGGGACUUUGCAGAGCUUGUUGACUAGCCAUGCAUUUGAUUUCAUAAAGCUGUCCCUAAGGAAAAUUCAAGCCUUUGUUUCAGUGCUUUUGUUGUUUUGUGGCAUUUCUAAGAAGAAUCUCCUUUUAAGGUAAGUAAAUUGCACAUAUAUGUAAAUAUUUAAAUUAGUAGAAGAGCAGUUUGAACAGAUAAUUAAGACAAUGUACUCUUAUCUUGUAACAUUUAAUGAAUUUGCCCUUGCCACCUUUCAGACAUUGCAUUCAAACUUGAGGUGCUGGUUUUCAUGACACGCAGGAAAACGAAGUAGAGAGAGAGAGAGAGAGAGGAAAUACAGUGGAUUGAGAGGGAAUGAUCUGCAGCAAAGAGCCCACGAGGAAUCAAACCUUUGUAACGAUAUACAGGCUUUAACCAGGCUGCAGAGAGGAUCCUCCCAAUCCACAGUGAAGAUGGUCAACAUGAGUCCUCAAGCAGAACUUCCUGAACAGCUCCGCUUCCUGAACUGUGUGUCCGUGUGAGACCCUAUGACUCGUUAUGAUCAAGUGGCUAAUCUUUUCAUGUUUAUUCAUGAUAUACCUUCAUGUCCACAUGCUGUUUCUUCAAGAUCUCAACAAUGCCUUGUGAGUAUACGGUUAAGUUAUUGGAUCAGUGCAACCUGUUUCUCACAUAGAAUGUUAGUUUCUUAAGGUUUAUCAACGAUGGUCUGUAUCUUGAUUUACAAUAGGCGUUAUUUGAUAUUUCCAUUGUAAUUUACAAUAAGUGAAUGUUGACUAAAAUCUAUGCCAACCAAUUGUAAUACGUUGUACCAUAUUUUUUGCAACGGAAUUUGGGCAACUGCUGGCCAUUUACUUUGAACUUGGUAAUAAAAUACCGUAACUCAUA